UACGCAAGAUACUAGCGUUAUCCGGAAUUACUGGGCGUAAAGCGCACGUAGGCGGCACUGUAAGUUGCUGGUGCAAUCCCGGAGCUCAACUCCGGAACAGCCUUCAAGACUGCAGAGCUGGAGUAUGCGAGAGGUGAGUGGAAUUCCGAGUGUAGAGGUGAAAUUCGUAGAUAUUCGGAAGAACACCAGUGGCGAAGGCGGCCCACUGGAGCAUAUCUGACGCUGAGGUGCGAAAGCGUGGGGAGAAAACAGG
This 253-nucleotide ribosomal RNA is filed under the name uncultured bacterium. RNAcentral describes it as "partial 16S ribosomal RNA". It matches the Rfam family "Bacterial small subunit ribosomal RNA", at positions 524 to 776 of the family's 1533-position model. The record is from RNAcentral.